GAUGAACGCUGGCGGCGUGCCUAAUACAUGCAAGUCGAGCGAACGGACGAGAAGCUUGCUUCUCUGAUGUUAGCGGCGGACGAGUGAGUGACACGUGGAUAACCUACCUAUAAGACUGGGAUAACUUCGGGAAACCGGAGCUAAUACCGGAUAAUAUUUUGAACCGCAUGGUUCAAAAGUGAAGGACGGUCUUGCUGUCACUUAUAGAUGGAUCCGCGCUGCAUUAGCUAGUUGGUAAGGUAACGGCUUACCAAGGCAACGAUGCAUAGCCGACCUGAGAGGGUGAUCGGCCACACUGGAACUGAGACACGGUCCAGACUCCUACGGGAGGCAGCAGUAGGGAAUCUUCCGCAAAGGGCGAAAGCCUGACGGAGCAACGCCGCGUGAGUGAUGAAGGUCUUCGGAUCGUAAAACUCUGUUAUUAGGGAAGAACAUAUGUGUAAGUAACUGUGCACAUCUUGACGGUACCUAAUCAGAAAGCCACGGCUAACUACGUG
RNAcentral lists this ribosomal RNA (497 nucleotides) under uncultured bacterium. RNAcentral's name for it is "partial 16S ribosomal RNA". It matches the Rfam family "Bacterial small subunit ribosomal RNA", at positions 28 to 507 of the family's 1533-position model. The record is from RNAcentral.